UUAGGGGUUUCUGGUUUUUCAAGAAAUGAAUUUAAUUCAUACGUCUUAUUUAGAGUUUUAUUAUUUGUUUAUUUAUUUUUAUUUGGCGUUAAGAUUGGGAGGGAUUAGCUUCUUAUUUUAUUUUUAUAAUUUUUUGUUUUUUUAGUCUUGUGGGUUUUAUAGUGAUUUUCAAUUUGAUUAUGUUAAAAUUUUAUUUGUUUUGUUCUGUUAUUUUUGUUUAUUUAAUUAUUUAUUGAAAUGUAUUCUUUAUCUUUGGUUUAUGGUUAGUAAUUAUUGUAGAAUUAGUAAAUUUGUUGUUAGGUUGUUUUAUUUGUGUUAAUUUUCUUUGAGGAACUAGGCAAAUUUCAUGUCCGCCUGUUUAACAAAAACAUCUUUUCUCGUUAGUUUUUGAAGUAUGGCCUGCCCGCUGACUUUGGUGUUGAAGGGCCGCGGUAUUUUGCCCGUGCAAAGGUAGCAUAGUCGUUAGUUCUUUAAUUGUGAUCUGGUAUGAAUGGCUUGACGAGGCAUGGGCUGUCUUAAUUUUGAAUUGUUUAUUGAAUUUGGUCUUUGAGUUAAAAUUCUUAGAUGUUUUUAUGGGACGAGAAGACCCUAUAGAGUUUAACAUUUGUUAUGGUCCCCUUUCUGUUUGUGAGGGUUCAUUGGGCCGUUUAAUAUGUUUUGUUGGGGUGAUGGGAGGGAUUAAUUUAA
This 687-nucleotide ribosomal RNA is filed under the name Reticulitermes sp. 8 SD-2015. RNAcentral describes it as "partial 16S ribosomal RNA". Lineage: Eukaryota; Metazoa; Arthropoda; Insecta; Blattodea; Rhinotermitidae. The record is from RNAcentral.